RNAcentral lists this ribosomal RNA (498 nucleotides) under uncultured bacterium. Its description in RNAcentral is "partial 16S ribosomal RNA". It matches the Rfam family "Bacterial small subunit ribosomal RNA", at positions 28 to 523 of the family's 1533-position model. The record is from RNAcentral.
GAUGAACGCUAGCGGCAGGCCUAAUACAUGCAAGUCGGACGGGAUUGAGGAGCUUGCUCUUCAUGAGAGUGGCGCACGGGUGCGUAACACGUAUGUAACCUACCUUGUUCAGGGGGAUAGCCUCUCGAAAGAGAGAUUAAGACCGCAUAACAUAUUGAAGUGGCACCACCUUAUUAUCGAAUAUUUAUAGGAACAAGAUGGGCAUGCGGAACAUUAGCUAGUUGGUGAGGUAACGGCUCACCAAGGCGACGAUGUUUAGGGGAUCUGAGAGGAUGGCCCCCCACACUGGUACUGAGACACGGACCAGACUCCUACGGGAGGCAGCAGUAAGGAAUAUUGGUCAAUGGACGGAAGUCUGAACCAGCCAUGCCGCGUGCAGGAAGACGGCCCUAUGGGUUGUAAACUGCUUUUGCAGGGGAAGAAACCUCUCUACGUGUAGAGAGCUGAAUGUACUCUGAGAAUAAGGAUCGGCUAACUCCGUGCCAGCAGCCGCCGUAA